CCAAUAGCGUAUAUUAAAGUUGUUGCAGUUAAAAAGCUCGUAGUUGAAUUUCGAGAUCGGUUUAUUGGUCGUGCUAUUGUACGUACUGGUAUUACCGGUUUCUCCUUUCUGACGAACCUUAAUGCCAUUAAUUUGGUGUUUUGGGAAAUCAGGACUGUUACUUUGAAAAAAAUUAGAGUGUUUAAAGCAGGCUCACGCUUGAAUACAUUAGCAUGGAAUAACGGAAUAGGACGUUUGAUUCUAUUUUGUUGGUUUCUAGGAUCGACGUAAUGAUUAAUAGGGAUAGUUGGGUGCAUUAGUAUUCAAUUGUCAGAGGUGAAAUUCUUGGAUUUAUUGAAGACUAACUACUGCGAAAGCAUUUGCCAAGGAUGUUUUCAUUAAUCAAGAACGAAAGUUAGGGGAUCGAAGACGAUCAGAUACCGUCGUAGUCUUAACCAUAAACUAUGCCGACUAGGGAUCGGAUGAUGUUAAUUUUUUAAUGACUCAUUCGGCGCCUUACG
Molecule: ribosomal RNA, 500 nt
Filed under: uncultured Glomeromycotina
Lineage: Eukaryota; Fungi; Glomeromycota
Description: partial small subunit ribosomal RNA
Rfam family: Eukaryotic small subunit ribosomal RNA
Source: RNAcentral